RNAcentral lists this ribosomal RNA (957 nucleotides) under uncultured organism. RNAcentral's name for it is "bacterial SSU rRNA". It matches the Rfam family "Bacterial small subunit ribosomal RNA", at positions 469 to 1424 of the family's 1533-position model. The record is from RNAcentral.
UUGACGGUACCCUACUAGAAAGGAGCCGCUAACUUCGUGCCAGAAGCGUCGGUAAUACGGGGGCUCCAAGCGUUAUCCGGUGUUAUUGGGCGUAAAGAGUCGUGUAGGUGGUUGGGUAAGUUAUCUUUCAAAUAUCUUUGCUUAACAAAGAGGAGGGGGAUAAUACUGCUCGACUAGAAUUUUCUCAAGGGAGAUCGGAACUGAGGGAGGAGUAGUGAAAUGCGUUGAUACCCUCGGGAACACCAGUGGCGUAGGCGGAUCUCUGGGAGAAGAUUGACACUGAGACACGAAAGCUAGGGGAGCGAAGCAGAUUAGAGACCUGCGUAGUCCUAGCCGUAAACGCAUGCUUGCUAGCUGCAUGAAUCUACCUUCGGGUGGUAUCGUGUGGCGAAGGUAACCCGUUAAGCAAGCCGCCUGGAAAGUACGGCCGCAAGGCUGAAAUUCAAAGGAAUUGGCGGGGAGGCACACAACCAGUGGAACAUGUGGUUUAAUUCGAGACUAACCGAAGAACCUCACCAGGGUUUGACAUGUAGCUGCACGUCUUAAGAAAUUAAGACUCUCUUGAAGGUGCUACACAGGUGCUGCAUGGCUGUCGUCAGCUCGUUCCGUGAGGAGUGCCCUUAAGUGGGACAACGAGCGCAACCCCUAUUACAUGUUAGAAAUGUCAUGUAAGACUGCCUUGCCAUUUGGCGGGGAGGAAGGAGGGGCAGACGUCAAGUCCGCAUGGUCCUUAUGCCCUGGGCUACACACAUGUUACAAUGAGUACGGCAAUGAGUCUGUCGCGAGCACGUAAGUGUAAGCUAAUCUCUUAAAUGUACUCUCAGUGGGGAUUGAGGUCUGCAACUCGACCUCAUGAACACGGAAUUGGUAGUAAUCGCGGGUCAGCUAUACCGCGGUGAUACGUUCUUGCCUCUUGCACACACCGCCCGUCAAACCAGCAAAGUCGAUUGUAUCCGA